GAUGUCGCGAACAAUCGAUAUCGAAUUCUGAGGAAGGUCCGGCCACCAUACUAAGGUUGUCUUUCGAAAGGAAGAUUCUCGCGAGGGAAAGCUCCAGAACAGAAACGAUCCUAUUAAGUUAGGCUGAAACGGCUGUCUCAACCGGUGCAACCUCUUAGAGGGCUUAGUCGAAUGUUAACACAAACCGUCUGCUUAACCGCGGGGUUUGACAGAAGCUGGCCUAUUCCCGACUUAC
This 235-nucleotide RNase P RNA is filed under the name Nanobdellota archaeon. Its description in RNAcentral is "RNase P RNA component". It matches the Rfam family "Archaeal RNase P". Rfam says of the family: Ribonuclease P (RNase P) is a ubiquitous endoribonuclease, found in archaea, bacteria and eukarya as well as chloroplasts and mitochondria. Its best characterised activity is the generation of mature 5'-ends of tRNAs by cleaving the 5'-leader elements of precursor-tRNAs. Cellular RNase Ps are ribonucleoproteins. RNAcentral also lists the same sequence under 1 other name. The record is from RNAcentral. Lineage: Archaea; Nanobdellati; Nanobdellota.